UACAGAGGUGGCAAGCGUUGUUCGGAAUUACUGGGCGUAAAGGGCGCGUAGGCGGUCUUGUAAGUUCCGUGUGAAAUCCCUCGGCUCAACUGAGGAACCGCACGGAAAACUGCUUGGCUUGAGUUCGGGAGAGGGAAGCGGAAUUCCGGGUGUAGCGGUGAAAUGCGCAGAUAUCGGGAGGAACACCAGUGGCGAAGGCGGCACUCUGGGCCAGUAUUGACGCUGAGGAGCGAAAGCGUGGGGAGCGAACAGG
This 253-nucleotide ribosomal RNA is filed under the name uncultured bacterium. RNAcentral describes it as "partial 16S ribosomal RNA". It matches the Rfam family "Bacterial small subunit ribosomal RNA", at positions 524 to 776 of the family's 1533-position model. The record is from RNAcentral.